CAUUCUCAAUAANCUACUUCC
Molecule: transfer RNA, 21 nt
Filed under: Neotoma fuscipes (dusky-footed woodrat)
Lineage: Eukaryota; Metazoa; Chordata; Mammalia; Rodentia; Cricetidae
Description: partial tRNA-Pro
Source: RNAcentral